RNAcentral lists this long non-coding RNA (909 nucleotides) under Nicotiana benthamiana. Its description in RNAcentral is "long non-coding RNA (NBEN_LNC007015)". The record is from RNAcentral. Lineage: Eukaryota; Viridiplantae; Streptophyta; Magnoliopsida; Solanales; Solanaceae.
AGCAACGUAGGUGUUGACAGGAAAGAUGCUUGCUUCCCAAGCUUCCUCCUGUAUAUCUGUAGUGUUUGGAAUUGAGUUCAGAUCAAUUGGCUGCUUGCUUCUGGAACUCACCCUCCUUUAGCUAAACCAUAGCAAUAGAUUCUUGCGGUAAAGGGUGGUUUACUAGUAAUUAUGACUGUUUUAAUGACAAAUCUUCUAUCUAUAGUCUUUUGACAUAUUUUUCGUCUGCAGGUCUGUUUACAUUGUAUACACGGUACUUGGAGAUGUCAGCAUAUAUAUUGUAGGAAAGGAUGAGUAUGAUGAACUUGCCUGUAAGUCUGAGUCAUUAACUUUAAUGUUUCAACAAAAGAUAUGCAUGGUACAAUUGUUUAAGGCCUCGUCAGCAAUUAAUUUAAACUAAAAGAAACUGCAAACUAUAUUGUCUUUGUCUCAUUUAUGUACAAACUUUAUUUGGAUAUGCUAGUUAUUCUGUCUCCAUAUGCAUGGUACAGUUGUUUAUGGACCCGUCGGCACUCAAUUAAUGCUAAAAGAAACUGCAAAUUAUGUUGUCUUUGUUCCUUUAUGUACAAACUUUAUUUGGAUAUGCUAAUUAUUCUGUCUCCACGUAGCUCAAAGUAUGUUUUUGGCAAUUGAUUUAGGUAGUUGAGUUGAAAGAAGUCCUUUUAUCCUAUGAGCCGGGGGUCGAUUGGAAACAGCCUCUCUGCCCUUUCGGGUAGGGUUAAGGCUUGUCUACAUAUUACCCUCCGCAGACCCCACCUGGUGGGAGUAUACUGGGUAGUUGUUGUUGUUGUUGUUGUUGUUGUAGUUGAAAGAAGACAAGCCAGUUUUGACCUUAAUUAUGUGGAGUUGAAUGUUCCAAACCAGUUUUGACCUAAUGCCUUUGCAAACCUUGAGGUAGUUGAAUGUUCC